RNAcentral lists this ribosomal RNA (253 nucleotides) under uncultured bacterium. RNAcentral's name for it is "partial 16S ribosomal RNA". It matches the Rfam family "Bacterial small subunit ribosomal RNA", at positions 524 to 776 of the family's 1533-position model. The record is from RNAcentral.
UACGGAGGGGGCUAGCGUUGUUCGGAAUUACUGGGCGUAAAGCGCACGUAGUCGGCUUUGCAAGUCGGUUGUGAAAUCCCCGGGCUCAACCUGGGAACUGCAUCCGAGACUGCAUUGCUAGAGUAUGGGAGAGGAAAGCGGAAUUUCUGGUGUAGCAGUGAAAUGCGUAGAUAUCAGAAGGAACAUCAGUGGCGAAGGCGGCUUUCUGGACCAAUACUGACGAUCAGGUGCGAAAGCGUGGGGAGCAAACAGG